UUUAAAUUUAAAUUUUUAAGUUAAAUAAUUAAAAGAUAUAAUCUUUAAAGUUAAAUAAUUUGGCGGUAUUUUAGUCUUUUCAGAGGAACCUGUUCUUUAAAUGAUAUUCCACGAUUUAACAAUCUUAAGUUAGAAGUUUAUAUAUCAUCGUUAUUAAAUAUUUUUUUAGAAUAAAAUAUUUAAAAAUUAUAAUUAUAUUUUAAUUCAGAUCAUGGUAUAGCUUAUAUUUAAGUAGUAAUGGGUUACAUUAAUUUUAAUUUUAGAUUUUAUUCUUAAAAUUUAAAUGAAAUUGGAUUUGAAAGUAAUUAUUUUUUUAGAAGUAAUGAUUAAGCUCUAAAAUAUGU
Molecule: ribosomal RNA, 344 nt
Filed under: Scymnus martensi
Lineage: Eukaryota; Metazoa; Arthropoda; Insecta; Coleoptera; Coccinellidae
Description: partial small subunit ribosomal RNA
Source: RNAcentral